Molecule: non-coding RNA, 324 nt
Filed under: Trichobilharzia regenti
Lineage: Eukaryota; Metazoa; Platyhelminthes; Trematoda; Strigeidida; Schistosomatidae
Description: Eukaryotic small subunit ribosomal RNA
Rfam family: Eukaryotic small subunit ribosomal RNA
Source: Rfam by way of RNAcentral
GUCUAAGUACAUUCAUUAAAAUGGUGAAACCACGAAUGGCUCAUUAAAUCAGCUAUUGUUCCUUGUAUCACAUGUACUACAUGAAUCACUGUAGUAAUUGUAGAGCUAAUACAUUCAAUUAUGCUCUGACCCACAAAAGAACGAGUGCAUUUAUUAGAACAGAACAGGGGGAAGCAGUCGCGGGACCAGCUAAACAGGAGCGCAGAAGCUAUGAUAUCCUACUUAAUUAUAUUUCUGAUUUGUUCCAGAUGUCUAUGACUAACAUUUUAUUAUGUAAUUGCAAAGCAUGCUGGGAAGUAACCGAAAAUACGUAUUUGUUGGCUG